Molecule: ribosomal RNA, 497 nt
Filed under: uncultured bacterium
Lineage: Bacteria
Description: partial 16S ribosomal RNA
Rfam family: Bacterial small subunit ribosomal RNA
Source: RNAcentral
GAUGAACGCUGGCGGCGUGCCUAAUACAUGCAAGUCGAGCGAACAGACGAGGAGCUUGCUCUUCUGACGUUAGCGGCGGACGGGUGAGUAACACGUGGAUAACCUCCCUAUAAGACUGGGAUAACUUCGGGAAACGGGAGCUAAUACCGGAUAAUAUAUUGAACCGCAUGGUUCAUUGGUGAAAGACGGUUUUGCUGUCACUUAUAGCUGCAUCCGCGCCGCUUUAGCUAGUUGGUAAGGUAACGGCUUACCAAGGCGACGAUGCGUAGCCGACCUGAGAGGGGGAUCGGCCACACGGGAACGGAGACGCGGUCCAGACUCCUGAGGGAGGGAGCAGUAGGGAAUGGUACGCAAUAGGCGAGAGCUUGACGGAGCAACGCCGCGUGAGUGAUGAAGGUCUUCGGAGCGUAAAACUCUGUUAUUAGGGAAGAACAAAUGUGUAAGUAACUAUGCACGUCUUGACGGUACCGAAUCAGAAAGCCACGGCUAACUACGUG